Molecule: long non-coding RNA, 222 nt
Filed under: Lathyrus oleraceus (garden pea)
Lineage: Eukaryota; Viridiplantae; Streptophyta; Magnoliopsida; Fabales; Fabaceae
Description: Pisum sativum (pea) long non-coding RNA (PSAT_LNC005587)
Source: RNAcentral
UGAUGACUGAGCGAGAAUCUUUGACAAAUGACAGUUAUAGAACAAAGUCUUGUCAGGAUGCAGUUACUUACCAAAUCCCUAACUUUUGCCUAGAUUUCCCCAGGAUGAGGUAGUCAAUCUAGCGGGAUAUAUAUUCAUUUUUUAUGUCUCUCACUUUUUCCUGGAUCGCCCUUUCGGGUUUUCAAUCCACCGAGACACUCAUUUUUUCCUAAGCCGCCCUUU